AACGAACGCUGGCGGCAUGCCUAACACAUGCAAGUCGAACGAGACCUUCGGGUCCAGUGGCGCACGGGUGCGUAACGCGUGGGAACCUGCCCUUAGGUUCGGAAUAACUCCCCGAAAGGGGUGCUAAUACCGGAUAAUGUCUUCGGACCAAAGAUUUAUCGCCUUUGGAUGGGCCCGCGUUGGAUUAGCUAGUUGGUAGGGUAAAAGCCUACCAAGGCGACGAUCCAUAGCUGGUCUGAGAGGAUGAUCAGCCACACUGGGACUGAGACACGGCCCAGACUCCUACGGGAGGCAGCAGUGGGGAAUAUUGGACAAUGGGCGAAAGCCUGAUCCAGCAAUGCCGCGUGAGUGAUGAAGGCCUUAAGGUUGUAAAGCUCUUUUACCCGGGAUGAUAAUGACAGUACCGGGAGAAUAAGCUCCGGCUAACUCCGUG
This 433-nucleotide ribosomal RNA is filed under the name uncultured bacterium. RNAcentral's name for it is "partial 16S ribosomal RNA". It matches the Rfam family "Bacterial small subunit ribosomal RNA", at positions 29 to 507 of the family's 1533-position model. The record is from RNAcentral.